Long non-coding RNA from Mirounga angustirostris (Northern elephant seal), 413 nucleotides. RefSeq lists it as uncharacterized. The transcript is spliced from 3 exons. The record is from RefSeq and is a predicted model, not a curated record. NCBI's taxonomy places the organism in Eukaryota, Metazoa, Chordata, Mammalia, Carnivora, Phocidae.
UGGCGCGAGACCGUGCGCGCGAGUUUGAGGAGGUCCACGGGCACCACGGCCCCGGGACAGCGCUUCUCCAGGAACUCUUGGAAGCCCUGGACGCCCAUGCUUCGUCGGUGGGCAGACGAGACGGCGGCUGCGCGAGCAGGGGUGAAGCCUCUUCCUUCCACCUCCGGGAGCCAUGUUGCUUCGUCUUCUCUAUGCACCCCUUUUCUACCACCUUCUCUACCUUAUCCUCAUGGUUGCAGCAGGAGCCAUCCUUUAUGUACCUUCACAGAGAAUUUGGGAUUGAGCUGGAGAAGAGAUGAAAAAUCCUGGCUGCAUUCAAGCACCUGAUUUAUUUGUUCCUAAGGUCCAUCUGCAUUAUCCCUGGGUUUUGUGAGACACCACCAUCUUUAUAAUAAAUUCCUCUUUUUGUUUAA